UACGUAGGGUGCAAGCGUUGUCCGGAAUUAUUGGGCGUAAAGAGCUUGUAGGCGGUUUGUCGCGUCUGCUGUGAAAUCUCAAGGCUCAACCUUGAGCUUGCAGUGGGUACGGGCAGACUAGAGUGUGGUAGGGGAGACUGGAAUUCCUGGUGUAGCGGUGGAAUGCGCAGAUAUCAGGAGGAACACCGAUGGCGAAGGCAGAUCUCUGGGCCGUUACUGACGCUGAGGAGCGAAAGCGUGGGGAGCGAACAGG
RNAcentral lists this ribosomal RNA (253 nucleotides) under uncultured bacterium. RNAcentral's name for it is "partial 16S ribosomal RNA". It matches the Rfam family "Bacterial small subunit ribosomal RNA", at positions 524 to 776 of the family's 1533-position model. The record is from RNAcentral.